Molecule: ribosomal RNA, 385 nt
Filed under: uncultured bacterium
Lineage: Bacteria
Description: bacterial SSU rRNA
Rfam family: Bacterial small subunit ribosomal RNA
Source: RNAcentral
UUGUUGGCGGGGUAACGGCCCACCAAGACAUCGAUGGAUAGGGGUUCUGAGAGGAAGGUCCCCCACAUUGGAACUGAGACACGGUCCAAACUCCUACGGGAGGCAGCAGUGAGGAAUAUUGGUCAAUGGACGAGAGUCUGAACCAGCCAAGUAGCGUGAAGGAUGACUGCCCUAUGGGUUGUAAACUUCUUUUAUAUGGGAAUAAAGUGAGCCACGUGUGGCUUUUUGUAUGUACCAUACGAAUAAGGAUCGGCUAACUCCGUGCCAGCAGCCGCGGUAAUACGGAGGAUCCGAGCGUUAUCCGGGUUUAUUGGGUUUAAAGGGAGCGUAGGCGGACUAUUAAGUCAGCUGUGAAAGUUUGCGGCUCAACCGUAAAAUUGCAGUU